UAAAAAGUAGGAGAAUUAAUUCACUAGUGGGUUGAAAGAGGAUCUCUGGAUAGUACUGAAGGUCCAUCUGAAUCAUAUUUUUAAUGUGAAAUCAGUUCAAGAAGUUGAUAUAAAACUUACCAGUAAUUACAUGACUCUUUCUUCUCCUUUUUGAAGGUAUAACGAGUCUUCUGAAUUAUAUCUCCUUCUACGUGUGGCCAAACAUGUGAUUAAUGUACGCUUGAGAAGUACCUGUUUUCUGAGAUUACUGGGUGUGCGGUUCUAUAUAUGGUCCUUAGGUAUGUGUCAACAGCGGAUAACCUGCGGGAUGGUUUUCUUUAUAGACUCCAGUCUUCAUCAGCAUGAAAAAUGUUAACUUUUUCACUUUUGACUCUUUCUGUGGUGUUCUCUAUGGUAAAUCAAUAUCCAAUAUGUUAAAGUCACAUUUUCAUCCUAGAUGAUUCUGUAAAUAUGGUAAUAAUUUAUGGGUCAAAUUAAAGGGUGAGAAACUGCCAGAUUGUUUCUAGAGUGGCUGUAUCAUUUUGUUAGAGGCAUAUUGAGGUGAAAUUACAACUGCAAAGUGUCAGCAAGAGGAAAUUCCAUAGGAUGUUGACACUGGUCUGUAUCCUAUUUGUGGUGGUAGUUAUAAGAAUCUAAUUAUGGGUUAAACUCACAGAACAAUACACAAAAACAAUGAAUAACACUGUUUGCAAAUGUACAAAAAUAAAUAAAUAAAAGCUAUACUAGUUUCUGUGAUAUAAGAUAGCCCACAGCAUUCUUGGAGAGGAAACACACAAGAAUUCUUAAAUACUUUAGGAAGAUUUACUUAAUAUUGAGCAAAUACA
Molecule: long non-coding RNA, 824 nt
Filed under: Callithrix jacchus (white-tufted-ear marmoset)
Lineage: Eukaryota; Metazoa; Chordata; Mammalia; Primates; Cebidae
Description: lncRNA (ENSCJAG00000087041.1)
Source: RNAcentral